UGGGGAAUAUUGGACAAUGGGCGCAAGCCUGAUCCAGCAAUGCCGCGUGGGUGAAGAAGGUCUUCGGAUUGUAAAGCCCUUUCGACGGGACGAUGAUGACGGUACCCGUAGAAGAAGCCCGCUAACAUUCGUGCCAGCAGCCGCGGUAAUACGAAGGGGCGUAGCGUUGCUCGGAAUGACUGGGCGUAAAGGGCGCGUAGGCGGCUUGCACAGUCAGGCGUGAAAUUCCUGGGCUCAACCUGGGACGUGCGCUUGAGACGUGUGGGCUUGAGU
This 273-nucleotide ribosomal RNA is filed under the name uncultured Acetobacteraceae bacterium. RNAcentral describes it as "partial 16S ribosomal RNA". It matches the Rfam family "Bacterial small subunit ribosomal RNA", at positions 355 to 647 of the family's 1533-position model. The record is from RNAcentral. Lineage: Bacteria; Pseudomonadati; Pseudomonadota; Alphaproteobacteria; Acetobacterales; Acetobacteraceae.